UUAAGUUAAUAAGGGCGCACGGUGGAUGCCUUGGCACUAGGAGCCGACGAAGGACGUGACAAACGACGAUAUGCCUUGGGUAGCUGUAAGUAAGCGAUGAUCCAGGGAUUUCCGAAUGGGGGAACCCAACAGGUAAUACCUGUUACCUACAUCUGUUAAGGAUGUGAGGAGGAAGACGCAGUGAACUGAAACAUCUAAGUAGCUGCAGGAAGAGAAAGCAAAAGCGAUUGCCUUAGUAGCGGCGAGCGAAACGGCAGAAGGGCAAACCGAAGAGUUUACUCUUCGGGGUUGUAGGACUGCAAUGUGGACUCAAAGAUUAUAGAAGAAUGAUUUGGGAAGAUCAGCCAAAGAGAGUAAUAGCCUCGUAUUUAAAAUAGUCUUUGUACUUAGCAGUAUCCUGAGUACGGCGGGACACGUGAAAUCCCGUCGGAAUCUGGGAGGACCAUCUCCCAACCCUAAAUACUCCCUAGUGACCGAUAGUGAACCAGUACCGUGAGGGAAAGGUGAAAAGCACCCCGGGAGGGGAGUGAAAUAGAACCUGAAACCGUGUGCCUACAACAAGUUCGAGCCCGUUAAUGGGUGAGAGCGUGCCUUUUGUAGAAUGAACCGGCGAGUUACGUUAUGAUGCGAGGUUAAGUUGAAGAGACGGAGCCGUAGGGAAACCGAGUCUGAAUAGGGCGCCUUAGUAUCAUGACGUAGACCCGAAACCAUGUGACCUACCCAUGAGCAGGUUGAAGGUGCGGUAAGACGCACUGGAGGACCGAACCAGGGCACGUUGAAAAGUGCUUGGAUGACUUGUGGGUAGCGGAGAAAUUCCAAACGAACUUGGAGAUAGCUGGUUCUCUCCGAAAUAGCUUUAGGGCUAGCGUCGACAUUAGAGAUUCUUGGAGGUAGAGCACUGUUUGGGUGAGGGGUCCAUCCCGGAUUACCAAUCUCAGAUAAACUCCGAAUGCCAAUGAAUUAUGGUCGGCAGUCAGACUGCGAGUGCUAAGAUCCGUAGUCGAAAGGGAAACAGCCCAGACCACCAGCUAAGGUCCCAAAAUAAUUGUUAAGUGGAAAAGGAUGUGGGGUUGCACAGACAACUAGGAUGUUAGCUUAGAAGCAGCUAUUCAUUCAAAGAGUGCGUAAUAGCUCACUAGUCGAGUGACCCUGCGCCGAAAAUGUACCGGGGCUAAAACAAUUUACCGAAGCUGUGGAUACCUUUAUAGGUAUGGUAGGAGAGCGUUCUAUGUGUGAUGAAGGUAUACCGUGAGGAGUGCUGGAACGCAUAGAAGUGAGAAUGCCGGUAUGAGUAGCGAAAGACAGGUGAGAAUCCUGUCCACCGUAAGACUAAGGUUUCCAGGGGAAGGCUCGUCCGCCCUGGGUUAGUCGGGACCUAAGGAGAGACCGAAAGGUGUAUCCGAUGGACAACAGGUUGAUAUUCCUGUACUAGAGUAUGUAGUGAUGGAGGGACGCAGUAGGCUAACUAAAGCAGACGAUUGGAAGAGUCUGUCUAAGCAGUGAGGUGUGAAUUGAGUCAAAUGCUUAAUUCUAUAACAUUGAGCUGUGAUGGGGAGCGAAGUUUAGUAGCGAAGUUAGUGACGUCACACUGCCAAGAAAAGCUUCUAGCGUUUAAACAUACUCUACCCGUACCGCAAACCGACACAGGUAGUCGAGGCGAGUAGCCUCAGGUGAGCGAGAGAACUCUCGUUAAGGAACUCGGCAAAAUGACCCCGUAACUUCGGGAGAAGGGGUGCUGACUUAAAGUCAGCCGCAGUGAAUAGGCCCAAGCAACUGUUUAUCAAAAACACAGCUCUCUGCUAAAUCGUAAGAUGAUGUAUAGGGGGUGACGCCUGCCCGGUGCUGGAAGGUUAAGAGGAGUGCUUAGCGUAAGCGAAGGUAUGAAUUGAAGCCCCAGUAAACGGCGGCCGUAACUAUAACGGUCCUAAGGUAGCGAAAUUCCUUGUCGGGUAAGUUCCGACCCGCACGAAAGGCGUAAUGUUUUGGGCACUGUCUCAACGAGAGACUCGGUGAAAUUUUAGUACCUGUGAAGAUGCAGGUUACCCGCGACAGGACGGAAAGACCCCAUGGAGCUUUACUGCAGUUUGAUAUUGAGUGUCUGUACCACAUGUACAGGAUAGGUAGGAGUCUAAGAGAUCGGGACGCCAGUUUCGAAGGAGACGCUGUUGGGAUACUACCCUUGUGUUAUGGCCACUCUAACCCAGAUAGGUGAUCCCUAUCGGAGACAGUGUCUGACGGGCAGUUUGACUGGGGCGGUCGCCUCCUAAAAGGUAACGGAGGCGCCCAAAGGUUCCCUCAGAAUGGUUGGAAAUCAUUCGCAGAGUGUAAAGGUAUAAGGGAGCUUGACUGCGAGAGCUACAACUCGAGCAGGGACGAAAGUCGGGCUUAGUGAUCCGGUGGUUCCGUAUGGAAGGGCCAUCGCUCAACGGAUAAAAGCUACCCUGGGGAUAACAGGCUUAUCUCCCCCAAGAGUUCACAUCGACGGGGAGGUUUGGCACCUCGAUGUCGGCUCGUCGCAUCCUGGGGCUGUAGUCGGUCCCAAGGGUUGGGCUGUUCGCCCAUUAAAGCGGCACGCGAGCUGGGUUCAGAACGUCGUGAGACAGUUCGGUCCCUAUCCGUCGCGGGCGUAGGAAAUUUGAGAGGAUCUGCUCCUAGUACGAGAGGACCAGAGUGGACUUACCGCUGGUGUACCAGUUGUCUUGCCAAAGGCAUCGCUGGGUAGCUAUGUAGGGAAGGGAUAAACGCUGAAAGCAUCUAAGUGUGAAACCCACCUCAAGAUGAGAUUUCCCAUGAUUAUAUAUCAGUAAGAGCCCUGAGAGAUGAUCAGGUAGAUAGGUUAGAAGUGGAAGUGUGGCGACACAUGUAGCGGACUAAUACUAAUAGCUCGAGGACUUAUCCAA
RNAcentral lists this ribosomal RNA (2900 nucleotides) under Streptococcus pneumoniae. RNAcentral's name for it is "bacterial LSU rRNA". It matches the Rfam family "Bacterial large subunit ribosomal RNA". Lineage: Bacteria; Bacillati; Bacillota; Bacilli; Lactobacillales; Streptococcaceae. The record is from RNAcentral.